Molecule: ribosomal RNA, 16 nt
Filed under: Trichogramma minutum (minute egg parasite)
Lineage: Eukaryota; Metazoa; Arthropoda; Insecta; Hymenoptera; Trichogrammatidae
Description: partial 26S ribosomal RNA
Source: RNAcentral
CACCCGCUGAAUUUAA